Molecule: ribosomal RNA, 253 nt
Filed under: uncultured prokaryote
Description: partial 16S ribosomal RNA
Rfam family: Bacterial small subunit ribosomal RNA
Source: RNAcentral
GACGAACCGUGCGAACGUUGUUCGGAAUCACUGGGCUUAAAGGGCGCGUAGGCGGGCAGCCAAGUCAGGGGUGAAAUCUUUCGGCUUAACCGGAAAACAGCUUCUGAUACUGGUUGUCUUGAGCGAGGUAGGGGCAUGUGGAACUUCCGGUGGAGCGGUGAAAUGCGUAGAUAUCGGGAGGAACACCUGUGGCGAAAGCGGCAUACUGGACCACAACUGACGCUGAGGCGCGAAAGCUAGGGGAGUAAACGGG